GUUUGAUCCUGGCUCAGAGUGAACGCUGGCGGCAGGCCUAACACAUGCAAGUCGAGCGGCAGCGCAGCAGUAGCAAUACUGUGGGCGGCGAGCGGCGGACGGGUGAGGAACACAUCGGAAUCUACCCUGUUGUGGGGGACAACGUAGGGAAACUUACGCUAAUACCGCAUACGACCUUUGGGUGAAAGUGGGGGACUCGCAAGAGCCUCACGCGAUUGGAUGAGCCGAUGUCCGAUUAGCUAGUUGGCGGGGUAAUGGCCCACCAAGGCGACGAUCGGUAGCUGGUCUGAGAGGACGACCAGCCACACUGGAACUGAGACACGGUCCAGACUCCUACGGGAGGCAGCAGUGGGGAAUAUUGGACAAUGGGGGCAACCCUGAUCCAGCCAUGCCGCGUGGGUGAAGAAGGCCUUCGGGUUGUAAAGCCCUUUUGUACGGGAAGAAAAGCUUGGGGUUAAUAACCUUGAGUCAUGACGGUACCGUAAGAAUAAGCACCGGCUAACUUCGUGCCAGCAGCCGCGGUAAUACGAAGGGUGCAAGCGUUACUCGGAAUUACUGGGCGUAAAGCGUGCGUAGGCGGUGAGUUAAGUCUGAUGUGAAAUCCCCGGGCUCAACCUGGGAAUGGCAUUGGAUACUGGCUCGCUAGAGUACGGUAGAGGGUGGUGGAAUUCCCGGUGUAGCAGUGAAAUGCGUAGAGAUCGGGAGGAACAUCUGUGGCGAAGGCGGCCACCUGGACCAGUACUGACGCUGAGGCACGAAAGCGUGGGGAGCAAACAGGAUUAGAUACCCUGGUAGUCCACGCCCUAAACGAUGCGAACUGGAUGUUGGGCUC
This 832-nucleotide ribosomal RNA is filed under the name uncultured Gammaproteobacteria bacterium. Its description in RNAcentral is "bacterial SSU rRNA". It matches the Rfam family "Bacterial small subunit ribosomal RNA", at positions 11 to 830 of the family's 1533-position model. Lineage: Bacteria; Pseudomonadati; Pseudomonadota; Gammaproteobacteria. The record is from RNAcentral.